Camelus dromedarius (Arabian camel) is the source of this 628-nucleotide long non-coding RNA. RefSeq lists it as uncharacterized. NCBI's taxonomy places the organism in Eukaryota, Metazoa, Chordata, Mammalia, Artiodactyla, Camelidae. The transcript is spliced from 3 exons. The record is from RefSeq and is a predicted model, not a curated record.
AGGUGCUCUGCUUCAGCUGCAUCUGGAUGCUGCUGAACUUGCCGUGGAUGACCCCGACCAUGCGCUCCAUCUCCUUGGGCGAGAUGGGCCUGAUCCUGCUCUGCUCCCGGAGAAGCAAGCAUCUGGGAGCCCAUCACAAACCAGGUACCCAACCAGGUGCUGGAGAGUUUAAAAAACACAGUAAAAAACCCUGGAACUUACUGUUCUCCAAUGAAAGCUCUUAAAUUACAAAGUGGGUGUGAAAACGCCAGUAAACCAAACAAUGAAGUAAAAUAGAAUGAUAAAUCUCAACACAUUAUUUUUUUUGGAAGAAACAACAUGGAACUGCUAUGGACUGAAUCGUGUCCCCCCAAAUUCACACAUGGAACCCCCAAUGUAUGUAUGGAAUAGAAUCCAUGAGGAGGUAAUUAAGGUCAAGUGAGGUCAUAAGUGUGGGGCCCUAAUCCAUAGAAGGGCUGUGGCCUUUUAAGAAGAGCAACGGGGGCCUCUUCCCCAUCCCACCCACCUGUGAGAACACAGUGAGAAGGCACCAAGGCACCGGUCUGCAAGCUGGGAAGAGAGCCCUUUCCAGGAACUGAAUCAGCCCUAGGCAAUAGCAAACCAAUGAGCAGCUGUGUUCCAAUAAAAC